RNAcentral lists this ribosomal RNA (438 nucleotides) under Triticum aestivum (bread wheat). RNAcentral describes it as "partial small subunit ribosomal RNA". Lineage: Eukaryota; Viridiplantae; Streptophyta; Magnoliopsida; Poales; Poaceae. The record is from RNAcentral.
AUGAGCUGCAGCGUCGUCGAUGCCAGGGCGUGGUCGCAUCGCGGCCGCCUCGCCUGCCUCGUCUACCUGCGGGACGAGGAUGUGGCCGCCGCCGGUGUGGAGCGCAUCGAGGCCCGCCUCGCCCCCCUCCUCCGCGAGACUCGGAAGCCAGCGGCGGCGCCGUGGCUGCCGUCCCCGCCGGCUCCAUCCCGCACGCCGACCGGCGUCUCCACCAGCUCAUGUAUGCCAGCGGCGACCAGGAGCGCGCAUUCCCAGCUCCCUCGGUGUCUGUCAAGAGCUAGGCCGAGCGCGGGUACUCGGUGUUCAACGUCCAUUCCACAAUCAUCUCUUGUACAGUGGCUGAGGAAGAUCCAGGAAAGCAAGAGCUGCGCAAGAGGGGGCAGGAUCAGGAAGAAGCACGGUGAUGGAACCUUAGCAGUAGACCAAAUGCAGACAUGA